GGACUACUGGGGUUUCUAAUCCGUUUUGCUCCCCACGCUUUCGUGCCUCAGUGUCAGUAACAGAAUAGUUAACUGCCUUCGCCUUUAUUGAUGUUCUUCUAUAUAUCUGUGCAUUUUACCGCUCCACAUAGAGUUCCGUUAACCUCUCCUGCACUCAAGCCAAACAGUAUUACAAGUUUCCACGAAGUUGAGCCUCGAUUUACCACUGAUAACUUGUCAGGCCACCUACGCACCCUUUACACCCAAUAAUUCCGGAUAACGUUCGCCACCUACGUCUUACCGCGGCUGCUGGCAC
This 295-nucleotide ribosomal RNA is filed under the name uncultured bacterium. RNAcentral describes it as "partial 16S ribosomal RNA". The record is from RNAcentral.